CAGCACCUCAAGUGGUCAGGAUGAUUAUUGGGCCUAAAGCAUCCGUACCCGGCGCUGUAAGUUUUCGGUUAAAUCUGUACGCUCAACGUACAGGCUGCCGGGAAUACUGCAGCGCUAGGGAGUGGGAGAGGUAGACGGUACUCGGUAGGAAGGGGUAAAAUCCUUUGAUCUAUUGAUGACCACCUGUGGCGAAGGCGGUCUACCAGAACACGUCCGACGGUGAGGGAUGAAAGCUGGGGGAGCAAACCGGAUUAGAUACCCGAGUAGUCC
This 270-nucleotide ribosomal RNA is filed under the name uncultured archaeon. Its description in RNAcentral is "partial 16S ribosomal RNA". It matches the Rfam family "Archaeal small subunit ribosomal RNA", at positions 477 to 747 of the family's 1478-position model. The record is from RNAcentral.